Molecule: long non-coding RNA, 342 nt
Organism: Balaenoptera acutorostrata (minke whale)
Lineage: Eukaryota; Metazoa; Chordata; Mammalia; Artiodactyla; Balaenopteridae
Exons: 3
Source: RefSeq, a predicted model, not a curated record
GGAGAAUGAAGUCGUAUUGAGCAAAUGUCUUGUGAAAGACUUUCAAAAACAUGAGAAGACGUGAGAAGUAGCUAAAUUUUGACAACUCCUCACCAGCUCUGUUACUACUACCUUGUUUUAAGACACCACUACUGCUCAUAUAGACUUUUGCAAUCUCAUUCUUCUUGCUGAUUCCACUCUCAUGCCGUCCCCCUACAAUCUAAACUCAAAGAGCAGCCAGGGUGAUCCUCUUAAAAUGGGACACGGGUUCGAGCCCUGGUCUGGGAAGAUCCCACAUGCCGCGGAGCAGCUAGGCCCGUAAGCCACAACUACUGAGCCUGCACGUCUGGAGCCUGUGCUCCA